This is a long non-coding RNA of Drosophila novamexicana, 1715 nucleotides long. RefSeq lists it as uncharacterized. The transcript has 3 exons. NCBI's taxonomy places the organism in Eukaryota, Metazoa, Arthropoda, Insecta, Diptera, Drosophilidae. The record is from RefSeq and is a predicted model, not a curated record.
GUCGUCGACGUCGUCGCUGGCCAAAAGAGGCCAUAAAACAAGCAUCCGCAAAGUGUUCCACUUUGUUGAUCUACGGAUCGAUGAGGAGGGGGUAUCAUCAACUAGCUGGCGCUGCGGCAUCUGGCUAAACGAUUUAUUAACUUCAUUUCUAGAUCAUUAGAUCGCAUAACACGGACAUUCAUCACUUGUGUUUGCAACUUUUUGUUGCACAUUUCCAGAACGUGAGCAAAACACGCAAGCAUGCAACAACAACAGCAACAACAACAACAACAACGAGUAGCAGCCGUCUCUAGGCUGCAGCUACGCAUGCAAUUCAUGCCACAUGCAGCUGCAGCUUGGCGAUCGCGCCAUCGAUAAGCACAAUCAACGCUUGGCGCAAACACUUGCCACAUGUUGCCUGCUGUGCCCUACUACAAACACGCCCACUUUUUUGUUUGGCCUGGAAGCUGUUGCCUUUUGUGGAAUGCGUUCAGCGACCAAGCAGAAGAGCAGAUGCCCAGUUGCAGAUAAAGCAAACGCACUCUGUCUCAGUCCCUGGGAUGAUGUCCACAUGCCUUGCUUGGGCUUUUGGGUUUGUGUGGGGCGUUGUUGCCUUUAUCAGCGCCUGGCGAUCAACGAUCUGAGCAUCAACAUCGGACUCCACUUGCCUCUGCUGCAGAUGCUUAUCAAAAUGUGCCUCGCGUGAUAAAAAAGAAAAAAAAGUUCGCAUGAAACGCGCUCCACACUUGAAAAUGGAAAUGGGUGUUAACGCAGCAACUUUUCAGCUGUCCCCGCGGCUUGCGUGUAAGAAUUUUCUGCGAAUUCGCUGAGAUUUUAAUCGGUUAGAUGUCUGGAGCUUGAGCUGGUGCUGGAGCUGGACCUGCAUUCGAAGAACGGCGCUGGUCGUGGCCGUGGCCGACACUUUCGCUGUAAAUUAAAUGCUCAUUUUCCGAAUGCGGCCGGGCCAACAUUUUCCAGUCACGUCGUUUCACAGUUAGCAGCUUUAUUAAAACUAACGGCAAGCCAAAUAAUUAAAACGCAGCGCAGCAAAAAAUAAAAAAGAGGAAUUGCAAAUUGCGGGCCAUGUAAUAAAUAGAAUCAUCAGCUUGGCAGUCAGCCAGCCAGUCAGUGCAGCGCGGUCAGCCAGCCAGACAGUUAAAAGUCAGGGUCUGGGUCUGUGGCUGUCUUACCGCCAUCAUGAUCAUCAUCAUCUUCACUAACAACAUCAUAAUUAACAUCAUAAUCAACAUCAUCAGCAGCAGUAGCCGAAGUAGCAGCAGCAUCAUCAUUUUUAAACCUCUUUUGGAGGGUAUUUGCCUCGCGAGAUGUGUAGCUCAUAGGAGACCUCUUCGGCCCCAAAAACCCAUUGAGCUUUAUGGCCAGCCGCUGGGCAGCUGCCUCCGCCUCACUGGGUCCAGCUGUCACUCGCUGAGCUGAUGGUGACAUCGAUAAUGUGUACUCUGAGGUCAAGCGCCGCUUGGAUUAUCAGCUGGAAUGCCGUCACGUUGAGCGUCGUCUCAGCCAGAAGCACAUGCUCAACUGGAUUGUGGCUAAUGUGCUGUCCAGCAUCUCGCCCCACCAGAAGAAGGAGACGCUAAACAAGUGCACUGGCGAUUUGACUGCCGUGGUUCUGCGACUCGAGUUAUACUUUGUCAAAUUGAAAAUUACACACAAAAUGCGAGACGCAGCCAACAAUCGGAAAUGUACCACAAUAUGUUUAAAUUAAUACAUCUGUC